AGAAAGGUGUGUUCAGGUGGUCCAGGCUGCAGUGCAGAUUGGCAUGGCAGUCGAGAAUGAAGUUAGGAUUCAUAAUUUCAUGGAGAAAACAAAGAAGCACCAAAAACAUAUGACUGGAGCUCAAGGUCAAGAAGAUAUGAGUAGGGAGACAAUGAUUCUAAGGAAGCGUGUCAAAAGCUUGAUUAAAAGGAACAGAGUAGUUGAGGUGAGAAAGCUUAUGCAAAG
Molecule: unclassified non-coding RNA, 225 nt
Filed under: Hevea brasiliensis (rubber tree)
Lineage: Eukaryota; Viridiplantae; Streptophyta; Magnoliopsida; Malpighiales; Euphorbiaceae
Source: RNAcentral